RNAcentral lists this ribosomal RNA (2892 nucleotides) under Klebsiella pneumoniae. Its description in RNAcentral is "23S ribosomal RNA". It matches the Rfam family "Bacterial large subunit ribosomal RNA". The record is from RNAcentral. Lineage: Bacteria; Pseudomonadati; Pseudomonadota; Gammaproteobacteria; Enterobacterales; Enterobacteriaceae.
UUAAGCGACUAAGCGUACACGGUGGAUGCCCUGGCAGUCAGAGGCGAUGAAGGACGUGCUAAUCUGCGAAAAGCGUCGGUAAGGUGAUAUGAACCGUUAUAACCGGCGAUGUCCGAAUGGGGAAACCCAGUGCAAUUCGUUGCACUAUCGUUAACUGAAUACAUAGGUUAACGAGGCGAACCGGGGGAACUGAAACAUCUAAGUACCCCGAGGAAAAGAAAUCAACCGAGAUUCCCCCAGUAGCGGCGAGCGAACGGGGAGCAGCCCAGAGUCUGAAUCAGCUUGUGUGUUAGUGGAACGGUCUGGAAAGUCCGACGGUACAGGGUGAUAGUCCCGUACACCAAAAUGCACAGGCUGUGAACUCGAAGAGUAGGGCGGGACACGUGGUAUCCUGUCUGAAUAUGGGGGGACCAUCCUCCAAGGCUAAAUACUCCUGACUGACCGAUAGUGAACCAGUACCGUGAGGGAAAGGCGAAAAGAACCCCGGCGAGGGGAGUGAAAAAGAACCUGAAACCGUGUACGUACAAGCAGUGGGAGCACCUUCGGGUGUGACUGCGUACCUUUUGUAUAAUGGGUCAGCGACUUAUAUUCUGUAGCAAGGUUAACCGUAUAGGGGAGCCGCAGGGAAACCGAGUCUUAACUGGGCGUUAAGUUGCAGGGUAUAGACCCGAAACCCGGUGAUCUAGCCAUGGGCAGGUUGAAGGUUGGGUAACACUAACUGGAGGACCGAACCGACUAAUGUUGAAAAAUUAGCGGAUGACUUGUGGCUGGGGGUGAAAGGCCAAUCAAACCGGGAGAUAGCUGGUUCUCCCCGAAAGCUAUUUAGGUAGCGCCUCGUGAACUCAUCUUCGGGGGUAGAGCACUGUUUCGGCUAGGGGGUCAUCCCGACUUACCAACCCGAUGCAAACUACGAAUACCGAAGAAUGUUAUCACGGGAGACACACGGCGGGUGCUAACGUCCGUCGUGAAGAGGGAAACAACCCAGACCGCCAGCUAAGGUCCCAAAGUCAUGGUUAAGUGGGAAACGAUGUGGGAAGGCACAGACAGCCAGGAUGUUGGCUUAGAAGCAGCCAUCAUUUAAAGAAAGCGUAAUAGCUCACUGGUCGAGUCGGCCUGCGCGGAAGAUGUAACGGGGCUAAACCAUGCACCGAAGCUGCGGCAGCGACACUAUGUGUUGUUGGGUAGGGGAGCGUUCUGUAAGCCUGCGAAGGUGACCUGUGAGGGUUGCUGGAGGUAUCAGAAGUGCGAAUGCUGACAUAAGUAACGAUAAAGCGGGUGAAAAGCCCGCUCGCCGGAAGACCAAGGGUUCCUGUCCAACGUUAAUCGGGGCAGGGUGAGUCGACCCCUAAGGCGAGGCCGAAAGGCGUAGUCGAUGGGAAACAGGUUAAUAUUCCUGUACUUGGUGUUACUGCGAAGGGGGGACGGAGAAGGCUAUGUUAGCCGGGCGACGGUUGUCCCGGUUUAAGCAUGUAGGCUGGUUAUCCAGGCAAAUCCGGAUAAUCAAGGCUGAGGUGUGAUGACGAGGUACUACGGUGCUGAAGUAACAAAUGCCCUGCUUCCAGGAAAAGCCUCUAAGCAUCAGGUAACAUUGAAUCGUACCCCAAACCGACACAGGUGGUCAGGUAGAGAAUACCAAGGCGCUUGAGAGAACUCGGGUGAAGGAACUAGGCAAAAUGGUGCCGUAACUUCGGGAGAAGGCACGCUGGUGUGUAGGUGAAGUCCCUGCGGAUGGAGCUGAGACCAGUCGAAGAUACCAGCUGGCUGCAACUGUUUAUUAAAAACACAGCACUGUGCAAACACGAAAGUGGACGUAUACGGUGUGACGCCUGCCCGGUGCCGGAAGGUUAAUUGAUGGGGUUAUCCGUAAGGAGAAGCUCUUGAUCGAAGCCCCGGUAAACGGCGGCCGUAACUAUAACGGUCCUAAGGUAGCGAAAUUCCUUGUCGGGUAAGUUCCGACCUGCACGAAUGGCGUAAUGAUGGCCAGGCUGUCUCCACCCGAGACUCAGUGAAAUUGAACUCGCUGUGAAGAUGCAGUGUACCCGCGGCAAGACGGAAAGACCCCGUGAACCUUUACUAUAGCUUGACACUGAACAUUGAGCCUUGAUGUGUAGGAUAGGUGGGAGGCUUUGAAGCGUGGACGCCAGUCUGCGUGGAGCCAACCUUGAAAUACCACCCUUUAAUGUUUGAUGUUCUAACGUUGGCCCCUGACCGGGGUUGCGGACAGUGUCUGGUGGGUAGUUUGACUGGGGCGGUCUCCUCCCAAAGCGUAACGGAGGAGCACGAAGGUUAGCUAAUCCUGGUCGGACAUCAGGAGGUUAGUGCAAUGGCAUAAGCUAGCUUGACUGCGAGCGUGACGGCGCGAGCAGGUGCGAAAGCAGGUCAUAGUGAUCCGGUGGUUCUGAAUGGAAGGGCCAUCGCUCAACGGAUAAAAGGUACUCCGGGGAUAACAGGCUGAUACCGCCCAAGAGUUCAUAUCGACGGCGGUGUUUGGCACCUCGAUGUCGGCUCAUCACAUCCUGGGGCUGAAGUAGGUCCCAAGGGUAUGGCUGUUCGCCAUUUAAAGUGGUACGCGAGCUGGGUUUAGAACGUCGUGAGACAGUUCGGUCCCUAUCUGCCGUGGGCGCUGGAGAAUUGAGGGGGGCUGCUCCUAGUACGAGAGGACCGGAGUGGACGCAUCACUGGUGUUCGGGUUGUCAUGCCAAUGGCACUGCCCGGUAGCUAAAUGCGGAAGAGAUAAGUGCUGAAAGCAUCUAAGCACGAAACUUGCCCCGAGAUGAGUUCUCCCUGAGACUUUAAGUCUCCUGAAGGAACGUUNGACGUUGAUAGGCCGGGUGUGUAAGCGCAGCGAUGCGUUGAGCUAACCGGUACUAAUGAACCGUGAGGCUUAACCUU